Coturnix japonica (Japanese quail) is the source of this 1117-nucleotide long non-coding RNA. The record is from Ensembl. NCBI's taxonomy places the organism in Eukaryota, Metazoa, Chordata, Aves, Galliformes, Phasianidae.
GUGACAGCAGCAGAAAUCAGAAAAUACACAUAAGAGAAGACCAAGACAUUUUAAUCUGAUCAGACAGCUCUCGUACAACCAAUUCAGUACAAACACUAAGGCUACAGCAGAGAGUUAUUUUGAAUACAGGGCUAAAUGCAACAACAACAACAACAAAAUGCAAUGAGAAAGAAAUACGAUGGCAAGGGAGAAGAAAUCUGGUGGAGGCAGAGAGUGGUGUGAGCAGAGAUGGAGCAGUUGUGGUCUACAUGCUGCAGAAAGCAUCAUUCAACAAGUGUUGAUGAAUGUCAGUGGGUGCAAUUUUCAUUACGAUGGAGGAAUUCAGUGGCACACCUUUGCUUCCAUACACAGUUUAAUGACAGACUGCAUUCUGUCAAACUGCCCCUCUGCUGACAUCUGUCACAUGGCAAAACUUUCGACACAAUAUGGUGGCAAGGUUCAGCCUUUACUGAGAUUCCACCAACCUUUGAUGUUGUUCGCCAACGGAAGAAAACAGGAGGUAUUACUUUCAGAGCAGCCCUCGUAUAUUUGUAUGUGGUGUGAUUCUUAUUACUUUUGAACAACAUAAUUAAUGCAAAAAACAAAAAAACAAUAUAACUGUAACAGUAUGCACAUGCAUCAAGGUAACGUAAGAUCCUCUUAUUGUAAGAUUUUAUUGACAUGAUACUGAUUUAGAGAUAAAGAUGCAAAUAUAUGUUUUCCUUAUAGGUUAGGAGGUAAAGUCUUUUUGGAUAAAUAUAAUCUUUUUUGUAUCUCAUUGAAUGGCAGAGUGCUGACUACACAUAUUGAAGUCAUUUCAAUUCAAUAACAAAGGGGAAAAAAUAAGAGAUGUGCUGUUCUUUACAUAUUGGUGUUUCAAAUUCAUAGGCUUUACUAGAAUUUUAUAUCCAAAUCUUGAGUUUUCCUGAAUUACUCAUGGUAGAUUCUUUUUUCUCAUUCUUAAAAUACAACUGGCCUUCGAAUGAGUUAGGAUUUAUUCCACUUAACUGUCUCAAAUAGAGUAUAGAGAUUCUUUUACUAGUCAAUCGAGAGAUAAGUAAGUCUACUAAAUUUAGAUUAAUUCCACAAGAUAAGCAACUCUAAUAAAUUUAGAUUAGUCCCACUUAUUUUAGGAAGG